Molecule: ribosomal RNA, 433 nt
Filed under: uncultured bacterium
Lineage: Bacteria
Description: partial 16S ribosomal RNA
Rfam family: Bacterial small subunit ribosomal RNA
Source: RNAcentral
AACGAACGCUGGCGGCAUGCCUAACACAUGCAAGUCGAACGAGACCUUCGGGUCUAGUGGCGCACGGGUGCGUAACGCGUGGGAACCUGCCCUUAGGUUCGGAAUAACUCCCCGAAAGGGGUGCUAAUACCGGAUAAUGUCUUCGGACCAAAGAUUUAUCGCCUUUGGAUGGGCCCGCGUUGGAUUAGCUAGUUGGUAGGGUAAAAGCCUACCAAGGCGACGAUCCAUAGCUGGUCUGAGAGGAUGAUCAGCCACACUGGGACUGAGACACGGCCCAGACUCCUACGGGAGGCAGAAGGGGGGAAUAGUGAAAAAGGGGCGAAAGCUUGAUCCACCAAUGCCGCGUGAGUAAGGAGGGCCUGGGGGUUGAAAAGCUUUUUUCCCGGGGAUGAUAAGGACAGGCCCGGGAAAAAAAGCCCGGGCAACCCCCGCG